GAAAAUUGAGUUAGAAAGCCAUGAGCCAAGGAAUGCUGGCAACCUCUAGAAGCUGAAAAUGCAAGGAAACUUAUUCUUCCUUACAGCCUCUAGAGGGGAACACCAAGGGAGACUCAUGUCAGACUUCUGACCUGCAGAACUCUAUGUUUACUACUAGAAACAUCUGUGAGAAGGGCCAGAUGUGAAAUAGCUUGGAAAACAGUUUGCUGAGAGGUGCUCUACCAAAUGACUGCAUCAAUUAUUUUGACUUGGGAAACAGUGAAGGUAGGUUUUAAAAACUGCACAGGCUGCAUUGUAAAAAUAUUCUUCAAAGUUUAUUUGUUUUUGAGAUAGUUUCUAUUUUUGCUCAUUAGAUGAAAAGCGUGGCUACAUUAUAGAAAGAGCAUUGGAUUAAAAAUCAGAUGAUUUUUCUGUUACCAGAUCUGUGAAAUUUAGGAUGUAUGUUAACUUGGUUUUUGUAUUUAAAAAGCUGCAAAACUUUAAUAAAU
RNAcentral lists this long non-coding RNA (488 nucleotides) under Homo sapiens (human). RNAcentral describes it as "HSALNT0027699". Lineage: Eukaryota; Metazoa; Chordata; Mammalia; Primates; Hominidae. The record is from RNAcentral.